Anas platyrhynchos (mallard) is the source of this 372-nucleotide non-coding RNA. Lineage: Eukaryota; Metazoa; Chordata; Aves; Anseriformes; Anatidae. The record is from RefSeq and is a predicted model, not a curated record.
UGAGGAACAUGCCUUCUGGGGGAGGUAGCCUGUUUGAGUAUCAUCCUAAAGUUCUAACAGCUGUGGAAACCACUCCAUCAGCGUGCCAGGCCCCUCAGCUCAGCUUGCAGGCUGAAACAAAGAUCUGGAAGAUAAGCAGUCAGCACAAGAAAAUUCAAGAUGGGCUAUUUAAAAGGAGCUGAAUUCUUACCAGAUGGAGGCUGUGGUGCAAUCGGAAUUCAAACGGCUGCUUUAAAGUUGCACCUGGUUGGCUUUAGCCAGCAGGAUCAAGCUACAAAAUAUUUGUGUAAAAACAAAGCUCCAAUAUAAUCAGUGAAGAGGAGCUAAAAAUCUGUUGGUCUGAAGACAAAAAAAAAAAAAAAAAAAAAAAAA